This is a non-coding RNA of Mycena leptocephala, 91 nucleotides long. The record is from the annotation of a GenBank genome assembly. Lineage: Eukaryota; Fungi; Basidiomycota; Agaricomycetes; Agaricales; Mycenaceae.
AGCAGUAUGGUGUAAGGAUGCACAUGGGAUUAAAUUGUAGCAUUCUCACAAACUUGAUCCCAAGGUCCUUGUUCGAAUCAAGGUGUUGCUG